RNAcentral lists this ribosomal RNA (849 nucleotides) under Cordyceps gunnii. RNAcentral's name for it is "partial 28S ribosomal RNA". It matches the Rfam family "Eukaryotic large subunit ribosomal RNA", at positions 63 to 940 of the family's 3401-position model. The record is from RNAcentral. Lineage: Eukaryota; Fungi; Ascomycota; Sordariomycetes; Hypocreales; Cordycipitaceae.
AACCAACAGGGAUUGCCCCAGUAACGGCGAGUGAAGCGGCAACAGCUCAAAUUUGAAAUCUGGCCCCCAGGGUCCGAGUUGUAAUUUGCAGAGGAUGCUUUUGGCGAGGUGCCUUCCGAGUUCCCUGGAACGGGACGCCAUAGAGGGUGAGAGCCCCGUCUGGUUGGACACCGAGCCUCUGUAAAGCUCCUUCGACGAGUCGAGUAGUUUGGGAAUGCUGCUCUAAAUGGGAGGUAUAUGUCUUCUAAAGCUAAAUAUUGGCCAGAGACCGAUAGCGCACAAGUAGAGUGAUCGAAAGAUGAAAAGCACUUUGAAAAGAGGGUUAAAUAGUACGUGAAAUUGUUGAAAGGGAAGCGCUCAUGACCAGACUUGGGCCCGGUGAAUCAUCCAGCGUUCUCGCUGGUGCACUUUGCCGGGCUCAGGCCAGCAUCAGUUUGCCUUGGGGGAUAAAGGCUCUGGGAAUGUGGCUCCUCCGGGAGUGUUAUAGCCCACCGCACAAUACCCUGGGGCGGACUGAGGUUCGCGCAUUUAUGCAAGGAUGCUGGCGUAAUGGUCAUCAGCGACCCGUCUUGAAACACGGACCAAGGAGUCGUCUUCGUAUGCGAGUGUUCGGGUGUCAAACCCCUACGCGUAAUGAAAGUGAACGCAGGUGAGAGCUUCGGCGCAUCAUCGACCGAUCCUGAUGUUCUCGGAUGGAUUUGAGUAAGAGCAUACGGGGCCGGACCCGAAAGAAGGUGAACUAUGCCUGUAUAGGGUGAAGCCAGAGGAAACUCUGGUGGAGGCUCGCAGCGGUUCUGACGUGCAAAUCGAUCGUCAAAUAUGGGCAUGGGGGCGAAAGACUAAUCGAAC